Molecule: long non-coding RNA, 1356 nt
Filed under: Phoenix dactylifera (date palm)
Lineage: Eukaryota; Viridiplantae; Streptophyta; Magnoliopsida; Arecales; Arecaceae
Description: long non-coding RNA (PDAC_LNC008910)
Source: RNAcentral
AAUUUCUUACAAUUCAAAACUCCUUUUGAAAUUGCAGAGCCAGUCUUUAUAAUUGGAUUCGAUCAAAUGGUUGUUCUCUAGGACAUGGGUUAAGAGUUUAGAAGCUAAAUUUAUAACCUUAGAGAGUAAAGAUUCUAGUUAGAAUUUUGUACUUGAACUCUGUUUGUUUUAGGGCCUUUUAAAACAAAUAUACCUUCCACUAUUUCCUCGAAUCUCUCACACUCCUCUGGUAGAGAAACGAAAACCUUGCGACUCUAGGUUGCAAGUGGGGUGCUACGGUCCCACCAAUUUACAUGCCACCUCACCUAACAAUUAUUGGCAACACAUAAAAGGAUGAGUGUAUAACUCUUGUACAAUGCUUCUCAAGCAAAUUGCAGCGCUAUCCGAUCUAUAAGUCCUGAAAGCCUCACCUAAUAGUUAUUGGCCCCAUUCCUUAGUUAAGUCAGACCCACCGUAUAACCGCAGAAGCAAAGCCGUCAUUGAGUCCCUCACCUAACAGUUAUUGGGCCCAAUCCCAUCUUUACCCCUACAACAUCUCAUGCCUAAUAGAGAGGUCUGGUCCCCCGAUGCAACUUGCCCACUGUAUCCAGCCGAGACAAAUCAACGCCGGAAAGAUCUUAGCAGCUCUACUACAGUGGAAGACCGCUAGACUUAAUAUUUUUGAGAAGAUUUAAUUUAGGUCUCUUUCAUUUAAUUAUCUACAUCUCAUGCAAAUAAUUAUCUACCCGCUAUGCAUAAACAUAAACAUAAACAAUAAGGCAUAAUCACAAAAUAAUUGGUGAUGAUCAUGGAUCCAGGAUGGGGUCAUAGUACAAGCACAUGCACGUCAAUUGGUUAGAUCGUUUUCAACUCUUGACUCGAUCUUGAGCACCCUUGGUCCAAUUGCAAUCAACUUCUUGAUCCAUCUCCAAUCAACCCUUGAUCUCGAUCCGCGCAAAUCGUGCUUGUGCGGCAUGCACCGAUCAACCAUUGACAUGCAAACACAUCACAGAUUACAUCUCAGAUAAUUUUAAAAAUAAAUAAAAUUAAAUAAUAGUUACAACCCUUUUUCAUGAGACACGUAGGUCUCUAAUACAUCAAUAUAAGAUGCACGCAGGCAUCUGAAAAUCUGAUUUACAUGCCAUCACAUAACAUCACAGAACAUUUCAGACAUUGCAGAACAUUUCAGCAUAAUUAAAGGAUCCAUCCAUGAUCAUCACCAUACGCAUCUCAUGCAUUAAAUAUAAUUUAUAGAUUUGAAUAUUUAACAGAUUAUGUCAUCUUAUGAGUUGCUGAUCAUGUAAGAUAUGAUUCUAAAUACUUGUAAUCACAUUAACAAAGCAAUAGAAUUAUUAAUCUAAUCACAUAAAAAUCAGC